Molecule: long non-coding RNA, 4925 nt
Organism: Mus musculus (house mouse)
Lineage: Eukaryota; Metazoa; Chordata; Mammalia; Rodentia; Muridae
Product: predicted gene, 54257
Exons: 2
Source: RefSeq, a predicted model, not a curated record
GCUCUCGAUCUCAGUUUCUGUCUCGUCCUUGCCUGCCUGCUGCUCUGCUCACAUAUUCCUGGCUGUUAGGAAUCGGAAGGAGAGAAGUACAUAAAAGUCUGUGCUUACAGCUGCCAGUGUCUCUAGCUUUAAGAAAGCAAAACAGCUCCGAGCAGGGGGAAGUGCUCCCACAGAGGAUUGGACCUGCGAGAACACUGCACCCACCCUGGACCUUAUCCAAGACAAGUCCUCUGUUCACCUUGGGGUCACUGGGAGCUUCAGGAAGCAGCAUAUUUGCAUUCACACCUCUCUCCAGGAUUCACGGAGUGAGAGGUCACAGGGUCAUGGAACCAGGUCAUAGAAUACGGCUGUGCCUUGUACUGAAGCUGAUCUCAGCACAGCCUCAGCCCUUUAGUGGGAAAGUGGCUUUAGCAGUGGAAGAGGUUCCCCAAAGAUCCCAAGAGCUUUGUUGCUUCAUGGUUUCUGGGGAAGACGGACAGUGAAUAUCCCAGAAGGGAAGAGGUGAAGGAGGUUGGGGGGCGUCCAACCAAGCACCUUCCCUGUUGCCUCGGCUGCUUCAACCCCCUCUUGAGGAAUCCCCUCCUGGAACACCCUGUGGCCCAGCAACUAGAUGGCCAAUUGUGCCAGGCCACAUGAGUAUAGCUUGGGCUGCCAGAGGUUUCUGCCCUCCAGACUGGUGGUUACAUAUGCUGAGUGGGAUCCUCGGCUCACCAAGCUCACUCAGGCUUGCAGCCCUCAUGGGAUGGAUCCCAAUGGUCUAGGAUCAAGAAUAUUUUAUUAAGGAAGGAAGGAACUCUUCCUAGAUCAAGCGCCAAUGGUCUUUCUCCCUGAGCCUUCCCAGGACAUCGGGAGGUCAAUGAAGGUUCAGAUGAGCUGUGUGACCAAGGACCAGCAACAUAAACUGCUAGAGCUCAGAUCCAGCCUUGCAGAUAGAUCCCCUCCCAACCGUCUCUCCUCCUUGAGCUUCGAGUAAUCUUUCAGCCUCUCACAUAAGCCACAGCCCUCAACAAAGCAGAUAUCAUAGGCACGAGUGGGAGGUGGCAUUCGUCGGAGCCCAUCAGAGCCGAGGUGGAGCGAAGCCAUGCUUCAAAGCAGCAUCCUGGGACGCACGUGGCACCGCCUGGCCCUCACCCUUGCUCCAAGAAACCAUUAACUAUGCAACAUCUCAUCUUGUUCCCGGGCAGCCGAGGGCUCUGAGUCACAGGAGGUGACAUUACUUUCCAACAGGUAAGUUGUUCAACAGAUGGGCAGUCGAGUGGCAAAGAAAUACAUUAUUAAUGUUUCUGGUUAAAUUAACUGAUUAAAACCACCCCAGGUAAAAACGUACAUAUCAGCGCUUUGCCCACAGCAAAUGAGGAAUUAAUGGAAUAUGGCUGUGUCUCAGUAAUGAGACACAGACAGGGGCUGUCUGGAAAAGUUUGCUCUCUUCAGCUCAGCGGCAGGGGGUUGGGGGCAGGGGGCUGGAUCUGCCUGUUAAAGGGACCUCGGCUAGAUUGGCUCUGAGCAGGGCAGGAAACAGAAUCCAGAGCUUCUUCAAGCCUGACUGAGAUCUGAGAGAGCUGCUCAAAGCUGCUUGCUUUUCUGGGGGCUCAAUGCAGAAGGAGCAGGCCACCAGCAAGAGCCUAGACCACCUGCAGAGUCGGGAUUAGAGUGGGGCCUGGUGGUCCCCUGGUGUCUUUAUAUAAGUCAGCUUGCUCACAGGGCCUCUGUUUCCUUAUCUGCAAACCGGGAAAGAGAACACUGUCAUAUGGAAUGUCCUCUUCCAACUCUUGCUUACCUCAUGUAGCUUAUAGGUCAGAACCCAGUGUUCAUCCUUGUCUCGCCCACAGUGGAUAACCUUGUGGCAGCCGAGACCCAUGUGAGACAGGGGUACCUAGACAUCUUCUGUCCCCCCAUGGCUUUGAGGAAGCCUCUGUCUUAAGACAAGCACAAAAAACAUCCAUGUGAGUCUAAUCAUUGGUUGAACACACAUAUGUACACACGUAUGUUCUAAUUGAUCUGUCCAGGCACACAAUACUGUUACAAACAAGCCUGUAUCUCAGAGUCUCAUACAGCUGAGGACAAAGGUGUCUCUCCAAGGACAAGAGGAUGACACUUCAGAGGCAGUGGUAGGGCUGAGGGGUCUCAGGGAGGAUGCUGCUGGCACAACGGACUAAGGGCCAGUUUUCUCCUCAGUAAAAUCAGUUCUAUGCCAGGGUUUCAAGAGCUCCGGGAAGCUGUGACCCAAUUCCAGCAAGAGUGAGAUGUUGCAUUCAUUAGCCAGGCAUCAUACCCUAACCAGGGCUUUCCUUGAUCCAGAGACCCACAGUGGCUAGAGACUCAGGCCCAGAGGCCCUGCCCUUACUGGGUACUCCAGAACUAAAUCAGGGGGAGGCACUGGGCUGCGCUGGUAGCCUCGCCCCGCCCCAAGCGUACGUGGGGAGCUCUCCGAGGUGCUGAUAUCUGAGAGGGGGAGGGAUUGACUAAGAAAAGGUGUUUUUCUCUUCUACUACAAAGUCGGCUGGCUGGGAAGAGAGGAGGGGAGGGGAUGUUGAGUCCCACUGUCCUACCACAGGCCUUCAUGGCCUGGGGUGCCAAGUGAGAGAACAGGGAGGGAGGCACCAGCUGAUAGCUGCCUAACAACUCCCAGCCUGCAAGGAGGCCUGCUAGGGGGUCAGCGCAGGCGAGGCGGUAUCAUUAGCUGUUUACCCUGAGAAAGUUCACACAUUCUGAGGCCGUGCUCUCGAGCUGUCAAAAACACAGCAUGCAGGGCUGGCAGCUCUGCCAACUGUGCUCCCCAGGGCCCAGCAAAGCAAAUAUUUAGCAGGCGCCUGGCUCUCAAGUGUACACGCACACACCUCCUCAUGGGGGAGGGGUGGGGUGAGCACACAUGCCAGCACACAGUUAAAAAAGGCUGUGCAGAGUUGCUGGCCAGAUACACAGAAACUGGGGGGACACACAUAUCAUGGACACACAAGUCUAUUCACAGGCCAAUAGCAUGCUGUCAUUACAUGUAUGAAGCAGUCACUAUGUGUCAGCAUUCUCUCCAAGAGUACGCCGAGACACAUCCGCUCACUCAAAUGUAUGCGGGCAUUUACAUGCACAGAGUGACUCUUACACACAUGUGCAUUCGCUGAAGUAUUCUCUCACAUGCAUACAUUCAUGUUCCUGCACAACAAACCCAGAGCAGACUGCUCCCGAGCCCUUUCCUCUCAGCAGCUGGACUGGCCCCCAAACAUGUCCUCAGAGCCCUUCUGUAAGCUGUCUAGCCUCUGGUCAGACUACCUUAGCUGAUGUCUAUGACAGCUCCUGGCAACCAUGGAGAGGCCGAUGGGGAUCACAUGCAGAUGGUAGCAAGACGCCCCAGAUGUUGUGUGGAAACAAACAAGCCUGCUAAAGUCCUAGAACUUGGCUCCAUCUUGGCCCUGUGGAGUGGCCCUCCCAUUGGCUGGGAAUACACUGUCACCAAUGCAGGCAGGGUGGCACUGUCACAAGCCAAGCAUAGCUAAAAGAGGGUUGAACGCUGAGAUCUGGUUUUCUUAACAGCCUUGGGCACACAACAAAGGCUCUCUGAAGCCCCUGGGUCCUAGCAGCCCUGAGAAAGUGAGUGUUCAGUGCUGCGGUGGGCACCUGUUGGAAGACCCCCUGAGCAACACUCCAUCUUCUCAGUCCUGUCUGGUUUGGCCACUUAGGUAGCUAUGGUCAGACCUGCAACCUGCCAGCCAAUACUGAACUCCCACCCUUGAGAGUCUCACUUACAGGUCCACCUCUGCACUGAUUUUCAAGGUCACCGCCUCCCAGUUCCCAAGGUUAAUGCUCUACCCAGAACAGAUCUACAUUCAUGUUUCAAGGUCAUUGCCCUCUGACACCCUAAGACGCAACAUGUGGGUUUCAGAUGCCACUAGCUAAAGAUCCUCAAGAGCAUUCUCUGAAGACCUCUAAGUCACGGGGACUCUUAGAUUCCUGGAGCCCCGCUUCUACAUUAAGAAGGCUCUCCUGCCUUCAGCCCUUUGCCCCACUACUUGGUGAUCUUGACAGGGCAGCAAACAUCCCUCAGAGCCAACUUUGUGAUCCUCUAGUCAGUACCACAGAGCAGAAAGAGAUAGGAAAGCACAAAAGGGAUGGGCAAGGAGAAGACACAGGCCUUAGGGCCUAGGAGGCUGUGGCAGCUUGCACAACGUGCACACCCCGGGGGUCUCCUUUAAUCCCUCUGCAUUCCUUCUUCCUCCCUCCCUCCCUUCUCCUUUUUUCUUCCUCCACAUCAUCUCUUCUCUCAUUCCCCUCCCCCCUCCUCUUCCUCCAUCUUCUCCAUUCCCAUCCCCUCUCCCCCUCCUCUUCCUCCAUCUUCUCCAUUCCCAUCCCCUCUCCCCCUCCUCUUCCUCCAUUUUCUCCCUGCCUCCCUCGUCCCUUCCCCUACCUACAUUGUCUCUGGGGACACCACGACAGAGCAAGCUUAGACUUCCAGGAUCUUAUACUCACUCCCGUUUUUUUUUUUUAAAUCUCAAGAAACAACCCUGGCCCUCCUUCUGAUUAGUUAAGUCAAGAGGGCUCUGCAGGUUCUCUUGAGGGAGGGGUGUUGCAUGAAGGGGUGCACAUGACUCCCUCCCCAAGAAUGAAACUGCAGACCUUACUGAGUUACAGAAGGAAGCUCCUCCUGGGAUCCCAGUAAACACACCCCUGUUCCCCAGAUACUGCCUGAAUUGCUACGCAAGGAAAACAUACACAAAUAAAGUGUCACGUCUUGACAUUUGAUAAUUUAAAUCCAGCAUCGAAGGGCACCUGCUUAAUUACACACGGAGCAGCGUGUGAACACUGAAACAGGCUGCAGGGGAGGCAGAGACCCCUGCCCGAGAGUGCUAACAGUCACGAAGCCCAGGGCGCAGAGGCAGCCAGAUUUGUCUUUGAGGUUAAAUUAAAGCCGGAGUUUCAUUUUUGACACAGCCUAA